This 442-nucleotide ribosomal RNA is filed under the name uncultured bacterium. Its description in RNAcentral is "partial 16S ribosomal RNA". It matches the Rfam family "Bacterial small subunit ribosomal RNA", at positions 338 to 795 of the family's 1533-position model. The record is from RNAcentral.
CCUACGGGUGGCAGCAGUGGGGGAUAUUGCACAAUGGGGGAAACCCUGAUGCAGCGACGCCGCGUGGGCGAAGAAGUAUUUCGGUAUGUAAAGCUCUAUCAGUAGGGAAGAAGAAAUGACGGUACCUGAGUAAGAAGCACCGGAGAAAUACGUGCCAGCAGCCGAGGUAAUACGUAUGGUGCAAGCGUUAUCCGGAUUUACUGGGUGUAAAGGGAGCGUAGGCGGCACGGCAAGCCGGAGGUGAAUGCCCGCGGCCCAACCGCGGGAUGGCAUGGGGAACUACCGGGCUGGAGUGCCGGAGAGGUAGGCGGAAUUCCUAGUGUAGCGGUGAAAUGCUUAGAUAGUAGGAGGAACACCAGUGGCGAAGGCGGCCUACUGGACUGUGACUGACGCUGAGGCUCGAAAGUGUGGGUAUCAAACAGGAUUAGAUACCCUUGUAGUC